This 308-nucleotide ribosomal RNA is filed under the name uncultured bacterium. Its description in RNAcentral is "bacterial SSU rRNA". It matches the Rfam family "Bacterial small subunit ribosomal RNA", at positions 28 to 334 of the family's 1533-position model. The record is from RNAcentral.
GACGAACGCUGGCGGCGCGCCUAACACAUGCAAGUCGAACGAGAGAGAGGAAGCUUGCUUCCUUAAUCGAGUGGCGAACGGGUGAGUAACACGUGGAGAACCUGCCCCCUCCCCCGGGAUAGCCGCCCGAAAGGACGGGUAAUACCGGAUACCCCGGGGCGCCGCAUGGCGCCCCGGCUAAAGCCCCGACGGGAGGGGAUGGCUCCGCGGCCCAUCAGGUAGACGGCGGGGUGACGGCCCACCGUGCCGACAACGGGUAGCCGGGUUGAGAGACCGACCGGCCAGAUUGGGACUGAGACACGGCCCAG